Molecule: ribosomal RNA, 400 nt
Filed under: uncultured bacterium
Lineage: Bacteria
Description: bacterial SSU rRNA
Rfam family: Bacterial small subunit ribosomal RNA
Source: RNAcentral
GGGGAAUAUUGCACAAUGGAGGAAACUCUGAUGCAGCGACGCCGCGUGAGGGAAGAAGGUUUUCGGAUUGUAAACCUCUGUCUUCGGGGACGAUAAUGACGGUACCCGAGGAGGAAGCUCCGGCUAACUACGUGCCAGCAGCCGCGGUAAUACGUAGGGAGCAAGCGUUAUCCGGAAUUACUGGGUGUAAAGGGAGCGUAGGCGGGAAGAUAAGUACAAUGUGAAAUGCAGGGGCUCAACCCCUGAAUGUCGUUGUAAACUAUCUUUCUUGAGUGAAGUAGAGGCAGGCGGAAUUCCCGGUGCAGCGGUGGAAUGCGUAGAUAUCGGGAGGAACACCAGUGGCGAAGGCGGCCUGCUGGGCUUUUACUGACGCUGAGGCUCGAAAGCAUGGGGAGCAAAC